Long non-coding RNA from Oncorhynchus tshawytscha (Chinook salmon), 743 nucleotides. NCBI's taxonomy places the organism in Eukaryota, Metazoa, Chordata, Actinopteri, Salmoniformes, Salmonidae. The record is from Ensembl.
CAAUUGCACGUGAGUUAGCUAAUUGCUCACAAUGAGGAAAUCUUAUUUGGACAAAUUUGCCUACUUGAGCAAAACAUUCCUCGGAUCUUGUCCCCUGGACCUUGGACUUUUGGUGUGGAUGAUCAGGGCCUACCAAAGCAAGGUUUCUCAAACUGUGGGGUGUUUGUUUUGAUGUACACUCUGUACAUUGCAAUGGAAGCACAGGAAACAUGCAGAAAAUUAGGUGAUGGUGGUGCCUCGUUCUCCUGCAGAACUUUCCCAUGCAGUCUGAAGAGGUUGAAAGAUUGAAAAAGGCGGCGAAAACAAAACGCACUACAGGAAUAUGUAGAAGUUGUCCCCCUCCCCCCCAAGAAAACUCUGCAUGUCACAUCAGCAUCCAGCUCUGCAGGAUCAGGAAGCAGAUGUUCUUUUCAGGGACACACUAGAGGCAGCAAGGUGGUGCAAACUCAGUUUUAAAGGCACUGGUUUCCCUCCCUAGUGUAAUGGGGAUGGACGGGGAAGACCGCAUUACAACCCUUAAAGAACUACGGUUGUAUGAAGAGGAAAACACUCUCCUCAAGGAACCAUUCAUGUUACAGAGAGAUUAUGAGAUGUUCUAUGUGGAGGCAGUUGACAAGAAUUAUUGUCUUUGCCUCUCUGUUGAGGAGCAGGAUUGAAGCCAUUUUUGAGCUGUGGUCAAACCUUGUUUUUGUCUGUGGUGUUUGUUGUUUGUUUCAUGUUGUUCAGUAAAGAUGUAGAAGUCA